Molecule: ribosomal RNA, 253 nt
Filed under: uncultured bacterium
Lineage: Bacteria
Description: partial 16S ribosomal RNA
Rfam family: Bacterial small subunit ribosomal RNA
Source: RNAcentral
UACAGAGGGGGCAAGCGUUAUUCGGAAUUAUUGGGCGUAAAGGGCGCGUAGGCGGCCUGGCAAGUGGAAGGUGAAAUCCCUCGGCUUAACCGAGGAACUGCCCUCCAAACUGCUUGGCUUGAGUCCGGGAGAGGUGAGUGGAAUUCCAGGUGUAGCGGUGAAAUGCGUAGAUAUCUGGAGGAACACCGGUGGCGAAGGCGGCAUCCUGGACCAAUACUGACGCUGAGGAGCGAAAGCCAGGGGAGCAAACGGG